This is a long non-coding RNA of Nerophis ophidion (straightnose pipefish), 10239 nucleotides long. RefSeq lists it as uncharacterized. NCBI's taxonomy places the organism in Eukaryota, Metazoa, Chordata, Actinopteri, Syngnathiformes, Syngnathidae. The record is from RefSeq and is a predicted model, not a curated record. The transcript is spliced from 3 exons.
AUGUGAAUGAGGGGCAGAACAAGAGGAGGAGAAACCAAAGUUAGAUGUGGAGACUCUGACACAGCAGACAACCUCCAUGUAGAAUUCUUCCCAGGCUCCACCAACUAUUGGCUCAUUUGUGGCGCCACCACGUCACCCUGCCCCGGUGCUGCCUGACCUGCACCCUUUGAGCAUGACAGGACAAACUGCGGGGGGCAUCAAGGAUGGCAGCACAGAGCAGGGGCCGCACAUCGGAUCUCUGUGUUGUGACGAGGCCGCCGCCGCCGCCGCCAUCUUGACCAGAAACCUGCUGGGUUGUGGCGUGGCCGUCAAGCAUAAAGACAACGUUGAAUUUAAUAGCAGCUGUGAAGAACGGCGUAAGCUACACUUCACUCCCAGCCAGGAGAAAGUCGAGGGCUACCGGAAAAAGCGACGACAAAACAACGAAGCAGCCAAGCGUUCCCGGGAGAAACGGCGUGCCAAUGACACGGGGUUAGAGAUGCGCGUCCUGAGCCUGCAGGAGGAAAACGCCCGUCUGAGAGCAGAACUGCUCGCCGUCAAGUUCCACUUUGGCCUGGUGAAAGACUUUUCUGGGGUUUCCAUCCUGCCCCUCACUCGGGCGAAUCAACCUAACUCUGACGAGCCCUCAAGCCAGCUCCCACAGCAGGACACAACGAGCCAAAAACCUCAGUCACUCUGUGACGAUGUGGAGGCCUCCAACUCACGCCACCUAAACCUGCUUCUUGAUCCGAGCUGUCCUGGACUAUCGACUAGAGUGCUAGUAGAGGAGCAGCAGGCCUACAGCAGCCGUCCUCUGUGGCCACAUGCAAACACCCAACACUCACCUGACGCUUUUAGGCGCCUUCCACACAAGCUCCGUUUCAAAGCUCCAUGGCCAUCCUGCGGCGGCCUCACUGGGCGGCCCGUCGCCACGGUGGGGCCUAAUGUCCUUGGAAGGACGCACCAACCAGCAACAUGGAGGGUUGCAGAUGAUAGCCGGGAAAAGGCGGUCAGCACUAUCACAAGCCAUCCUCUCUGGGUUCAACAGAGGAAUCCAGUCUAAGGUCUCAGAUAAGCUGCCUGUCACAGGAAGUAGCUGGACUCAAGCGGCUUUUCUGUCAGCAACAGCUCUCCAAGAAUGUUGGAACACCAACUCCAUGAUGCUUUUAGACCUCAACUUAUUUUCACCACUUCACAAUUACAACUGCCUUUACUGGUUCGCUUGUAACUACCAAACCACAUACAGCAGUGGUCCCCAACCUUCUUUGCCUCGGUUAAAUGUAGGCAUUAUUUUCAGGGGUCGGCUUUCCACUUAUGCCAGAUAAACGCUGAAUUAGUGGGGGCCCUGAGCUUGUUUCUUCGCAAUGAGAUGCAAAUGAUAUAUUCUAUAAUACAAAGGUCCUGGGUUCGAUCCUGGGCUCAGGAUCUAUCUGUGUGGAGUUCGCACGUUCUCCCCCGUGACUGCGUGGGUUCCCUCCGGGUACGCCGGCGUCCUCCCACCUCCAAAGACAUGCACCUGGGGAUAGGCCCCUCCCACCUCCAAAGACAUGCACCUGGGGAUAGGUUGAUUGGCAACACUAAAUUGGCCCUCGUGUGUGAAUGUUGUCUGUCUAUCUGUGUUGGCCCUGUGAUGAGGUGGCGACUUUUCCAGGGUGGACGCCGCCUUCCGCCUGAAUGCAGCUGAGAUAGGCGCCAGCACACCCCGCUAUCCCCCCAAAAAAGGGACAAGCGGUAGAAAAUGGAUGGAUGGAUGGAUGUUCAUUGGUGUACAUUGUAUCAUGUCACAAAGUUGUAACAAAUAUAACAAAUUGCAACUUCCUGUGAGGAGUUGUAUUGUCCAUCUCUGAACAAGCUUAUUGGUGUGUCUGAUGCAGGGGUCGCUAACCCAAAAUAUGGAAAGAGCCAUAUUGGACAAAAAAUACAGAAAACAAAUCUGUGUGGAGCCGCAACAGAUGAUGUAGGUGUUUAUAUUAGCUAUAUUAGACUACUGUCAAAAUGACUUUGUGUCGCAGGCUGGUGCAAAUCUCGUUGACAGAAAUGUUAAAAUGUAAUAUUUGUUCUACACAUUUUUGCAACAUUAGAAACUAUUGUAAAUCAGAGGUUACUCAUGAAUUGAUUAACGUAGACCCCGACUUAAACAAGUUGAAAAACUUAUUGGGGUGUUACCAUUUAGUGGUCAAUUGUACGGAAUAUGUACUGUACUGUGUAAUCUACUAAUAAAAGUAUCAAUCAAUCAAUCAAUCAAUUAGAUAACUUUUGGAAAUGACUGGCUUUCAGACAGAUAGAGGGAUAGUACUUUAUUGAUUCCUUCAGGAGGGUUCCCUCAAAAAAAUUAAAAUGGCCAAAAGGUAUAGGUGUGGGUGUCCAAGUUAAGGCUGUCUUCUUUUAAUAGAUUUAUUACAAUCUUUGGCAAGCAGGGUAAUGUUUGCUGUGGUCUGGAACAAAAUGGCACACACAAAACUAUGAGAAAUGCAGCCAAAAUUCCAUCCGUCCAUUUUCUACCGCAUUUUCCCUUUGGGGUCGCAGGGGGCGCUGUUGCCUAUCUCAGCUACAAUCGGGCAGAAGGUGGGGUACACCCUGGACAAGUCGCCACCUCAUCGCAGGCAGCCAAAAUUACAUACAGAUAAUGUGUCAUGAGACAUCCAUCCAUCCAUUUUCUACCGCUUAUUCCCUUUUGGGGUCGCGGGUGGCGCAGGCGCCUAUCAGCUACAAUCGGGCAGAAGGUGGGGUACACCCUGGACAAGUCGCCACCUCAUCGCAGGCAGCCAAAAUUACAUACAGAUAAUGUGUCAUGAGACAUGUGAAACUAAAUUAUAUAGAAAGAGGAUACAAGUAAAGGAAAUGAAAUGAGCUGAAAUAUAGCUACAAAUGAGGCCUAAUGAUGCAAUAGAGCUAGCCUAAAUAGCAUGUUAGCAUGGAUUAGCUUGCAGUCAUGCACCGACCAAAUAUUCCUGAUUAGCACUCCAACAAGUCAAGAACAUCAACAAAGCUCACCUUUGUGCAUUCACGCACAGCAUAAAACUUUUGGUGGACAGAAUGAGACAAAAAAGGAGUGGAAGAUUUGACAUGUAAACAAACUGUUGAAGCACAGUCCACACUAUGAUUUUGGGGCGAUCCACCUCCCACAUUUUUCAAGCGGUUUAAACUCCAACUUCAAACUGUGCAGCCUAUUUGGGAAUCGCAGGCUUUCCUUUUGACAAAUUCCAAAAAUUUGCAGAUUUCCCAGAAUUCCAAGUUUUCCGGGACAUUUUUCCCAUUCCAAAUGAAUUGGCCAUUUUUCAAACUUCCAUCGUUUCCACAUUUAAACUACCUUUUUUCCAAGUUCAAAAAAAUUCCAGGAAUUUCCAGAACUCCUGGUUUUCCAAAGCCCUAUUUCCACCCUUUUUUCUGGCGACUACUCCUUCCACAUUUUUCAAAGCAUUUCAACCCUUUUACCAUCAAAUCAUUCCUCUUAAUGAUUGAACUGGAAUUCCCGGUUUUCCCGAAAUUCCAGGAAUUCCGUAAUACCAUUUCUCAAUUCAACAUGUUACUUCAACAUUUCUCGACUGAUUAAAACAAUUCUAACACCAACCAUUUCAACUCAUUCAGACCAUUUAAGUAUUUUUUACCAUUUAAAAAAAAAAAAUCCCGCUUUUCCCGAAAUCACUAUUUUGGGGGAAAUUCCCAUUGAAAUGAAUGGGACAUUCUACAAAGUUCCACUACCCCCACAUUUUUCAUCUGAUUCCAACUGUUCCAACUUCAAAAUAUUCAGCCUGUUUGGGAAUGAUGUGCUCUACAACAAUUCUAGAAAAAAAUCCAGAAUUUCAGUUCAACUUCAGCAUUGGAGCAUUCACAUGCAAUUCCUGAAGGAAUUGCCUGAUCUAGUUACAUAUCACGUCGUUACAUGCCCACUGGGCCACAUUUUGGAGAGCCUUGCACUCUGGCUUCACUUCAAAGAAUAUACACAAAAACUGAAAUCAAAGCCAAAUUCAAUAUAUCCUUACAUUUUUCCGAAUAAGAUAUUUUUUCUGUUAGAACAAUUAGCCUGUCCUUGUAAUACACCUGAGACUUUAGAAAGGCAAAACAGAAGCCGUUAGAAGAAGGAAAUGGACACGUCAAAACAAGUAAAAUUGUCUUUGCCAAGUUAUUUUAAGAAGUACAGUACAGGCCAAAAGUUCGGACACACCUUCUCAUUUCAAUGGGUUUUCUUUAUUUGCAUGACUAUUUAAAUUGUCACCAAAGGCAUCAAAGCUAUGACACCUGUGAAGUGAAAACCAUUUCAGGUGACUACCUUUUGAAGCUCAUGGAGAGAAUGCCACGAGUGUGCAAAACAGUAAUCAGACCAAAGGGUGGCUUUUUUAAAGAAACUAGAAUAUAAAACAUGUUUUCAGUUGUUGAACCUGUUUUGUUAAGUACAUAAUUCCACAUGUGUUCAUUCAUAGUCUUGAUGCCUUCAGUGACUAUCUACAAUGUAAAUAGUCAUGAAAACAAAGAAAACCAAUUGAAUGAAACGGAUUUGUUCAAACUUUUGGCCUGUACUGUACAUCUUGGAAAUCUAGAGCAUAUUACUUCAGAUAACCAAAUUGGUGUAACAUAUAAAGUGGUUUGUGAAGUUUGAGGGAUGUUGUCAGUGUUUGCAGAGUAGCUUCCAGUAAGUGCAGACAUUAUAAAGGUAAUAGUGACACAUACUCUAUCCACUCUCCUCUGCAUCCAUACAGUACAUUUGAAUAAAAGGCUGGUCAAUUAUUUAAUGCUGUGACAAAUUGUGACCUGCAGAUAAAGACAAAUGACCAACUGCCAGGAACAAAGUUAUGCUUUGAACCCUAUACUUAAUUUUCAAAAUAUCUUCGCUCCUGAAACCGAAAAAAAAAAAAGUGGCGCCAAUGCAUACACACAGGGAGAGGUGCAUGAGUCAUCUAUCCCGUCAUCCGCACAAGAGCUAUUUUUAGUUUUGGAGCAGCUUUGGUGCAGACUGAUUGACCAUUGUGCAAGAAGGAUGCAGGUUCAGAAUAUAUGAACACCUGGAGAGAGCAGGGACAUCCUCUGAGACAGAAAAGGCAUUAAGACACUAGACUUGAGAAACACCUCUUCCUAUAUUAAUCAAUCAAUCACACGUCUUGUCUAGAAAACAUCCAAUGUAAGGGUGCAAAUAUGUCUGAACAAAAGUGAAAAAGCAAAUGAGUCCAAUAUUUAUUCAUCUAGAUCAUUAUGAAAGCAAUACGAUUGAUAAAAAAAACAAGCAGGGGCCAAAAAGGUACGCUUGUAGGAGUUUGGUGUGGGAGAACCUGAUCAUCCAAAAGGAAUUCGUGCAGGAAUGCUGGAUGUAUAGAUUCUAUACAAGACUACAUUGUGUGUGACGUCUCAGUACAAUGUUGCAUCAUUGGUCAUGAUGCAUGUAAAACAUGCUGGAUGUAUAGAUUCUAUACAAGACUACAUUGUGUGUGACGUCUCAGUACAAUGUUGCAUCAUUGGUCAUGAUGCAUGUACAACAAAAACGUGAAGAAAUUAAUAUCAGCAAAAAAAAUGAUCCAUUCAUCCAUAUGCUACCGCUUCUUCCCUUUUUGGGGUCACGGGGGCCUAUCUCAGCUACAAUCGGGCGGAAAGCGGGGUACACCCUGGACAAGUCGCCACCUCACAUAAUUAAAUAUAGGAUUACUUCUGCUCUCAUCGACUUGCAUCUAUAAUCUCUGGUAUCAGCUCUGAUACAAGCAGUCUUGCAGCGUGUUUACUUGUGCAAACAUGAAAAGCCAGUUUUAUUUUAUUUAUUUGAAUUAGGACAAUGCAUAUUUGUCAACAUAGAGCAACAAUGUAAAUAUGCCGGAGAUAGCACAAUACCUCAUUUUCAUCCAUUGUCCUAAGGCAGGUGAUGGUACAAAAGAAUACAUAAAUCACAAGACAUUACACAUUACAAGCAUACCAUGGACAAAAAAAUAAAACAAACGGGGAAAAAAACUAAGUGAAUAAUCUGUGCGUGCAUGUCUGAUUAGUUUUCAAGCACUGUUUCAGUGCAGUUUUAAAUAUGAAAUGAGUGUCACAGUUUUUGACAUGGGCUGGCAGCCUUUUCCAUGACUGUAUGCCUCUGAUAGACCCCACCAUUUGGUCAAAUUUAGACAAGCGGUAGUAAAAGGAUGGAUUGAUAGUCCUGCGCCUUUGUACGUUGCAGCCCCCUCUGGUCACUGCUCUGGUGUUUACUUGACUGCUAUUUUAACAUCUAAAUGUCCUCCAAUAAGCACACAAGGUUGGUCUUUUCAUGUAUUUUAGUUUUUUUUGUAUAUGUAAACAGACUAUAUGCUACUUGGAAAAUAAUUCAAUCAUUUGUUUUUUUUAACUUUGAAAAAUGAACACCCAUUUGAUAUUUGUUUGACUAGUACUGGUACUCUGAAUUAGUGAAACUAGAAGCUGGCCGUGACACCGCAUCUAAGCACACAAUACCACACAAGCUAUGCAUAAUAAGUGUAAUAAGAUUCCUUACAAUAUUGUAGUCUAAAACAGGACAUGUGUCAAGAUAAACAAGUGUCAAAUAAUUACAGUUGCAUAUUACUUACACAUACAAAGUCUUUAAGGCAGAAGCAUAUUAGGAAGUAUCCAGUAACAAACAUGUCUGCAUCAUAAAAAGCUUAUUGCGUCAGCUUAGUUUAAUGAAUUAUUGUGUUCCAAAAGGUGCCACCAAAAAAGGGAUUACCACUCUACUUAAACUUGAAGACAACAUAAGUCCAUUCCAGAUGGUUAAUAAUAAAUAUGCUGGUGUUUUUCAUACCUCGCAUUAUUCUCUGUUUAAGUCAUUUAAGCCUUUUCUGACAAUCCACAAAACACAAUGAAUAAAGUUUGUAUGACUCAUACUGAUAUCGUAUCAAUAUCGGUAUCGGCCAAUACUCAAGGCUCCAAUAUCGGUAUUUUAUUGCAAGUGACAAAGUUAUAUUGGGACAGCCCCGGAAAUUAGUAGGCUACGGACAGUGGGACUUAUUGUUCAUUGAGAAGAAAUACUAGAUUGAGUUCAGAAAAAGUUGAUUUUGCAAUGCAUUGUGGGGGCCGGGUAGCCAUUGUUGCUGGUUAAAGCUUUUGUUCACAUGGCUGUAUUCAGCAGUAUUGUGAGAGAGAGAGCAACACAUUGGGUUAAAAUGGAUCGUACCAAAAAUAAAAUUAAAGGACUGUACCGAGAAAAACUAUUCCAAAUGCUGGCUGGAGAAAAUUCGUUAAAUUUGUGGAAUUAAGCCAUACAGUAUGACCACAUUCAAUGGACAAGCGAUUCGGGUAAUCCGAAGCCAAACUUGUCCUGCAUCUCGUCAACCGAGUCAGUUUUUAAACAGACAAAAUUCUCGGAAGGCCAUGUCGGUAAAGGCUGACGGGCAAAUCAACUUUGGGUGCUUGCAUGACCUCGAAAUGUAACAUCUAAGAGAGAAGACUGUUGUCAACAUAACUUGUCACUGUGUGCUUUCACCUGGACCAAAUUGUUUCAAACUACAUAUAUUUUAAGCUUGAAACACAUGUGGGAAAUAUUCAAGGUUCUCUCAGUUAUUGAUACUAGAAUAGGGGCAUUGCUUUUUUCCAAAAUAUUGUAUGUUUUUCGUGACUCCUAGCUGGCUUAGGUAACACUAGCGCUAACAGCCAACUAAAUCCUAUGUAGGAAACAGAAUAAAACAUGCUUUGAUUUCAACUUACCAGUGUGAAAAUGCCGUAAAAACACCAAUAUGUAGCAGGUGAUGGCAUUAAAAAGUCAUGUUUGAUCAUCUCUCGGCUGCUAUCCAGGCUUUUCGGCCUCUCUUUAAAUGGCUCACUAGCCGAGUUCUUUCGCCUUUGCUUCUAUGCUGGAAUAAGACAAAUCUCACCAACCUUAUUUUUUAAGUGUGGCCGUUACUGAUGCCACGUUUGCGCCGUGUUUUGAACUCGUUAAAUAAAAACUAAAACUUUAGGACGUAGUCUUUUAUUCAGCAGUGUAAAUAAGCUAUUGAGAUGCAUGCAAGACCCACAAUGCAUUGUGUUUCCACAUCACACUUUCAGGCCCAAUUCCAGGCCUGGGCAAUUAUUUUGACUCGGGGGCCAAAUUAAGAGGAAAAAAAUUUGUCUGGGGGCCGGUAUAUCUAUUAAUACAAAACAUCAAAAUAAUGUCUGAUUGAAUGCUAAACUUUAUGAAAGCGGAAUGUAAUUUUACUUUUUUUUACUGAAUGAGACACCCAGAAUAGAAUGUACAUGAAAAAAAAAAGAAUGUGGGUUUUACAAUAUUAACUAUGAACGAUAAAACACUGAAUAUUGACAACAUAUAAACGUCAUACACCUUCUCGAGCGAAAUAUGUGACUGUGACUUAGAUUACUUUAGUAACUAGUAUUUAAUGCAAAAGCGCAGAUUCUAACCAUUGAAAUACUUUGUAUAGUCCAAGACUUACUGUCAUUUGAAAACAUCACUGCACAUCAUAAUGGCAGCUAAAGUUUCCAUCUUAAAGAGCAAAAAUAGUUACUUGGCAAUGUCCGGCGGGCCAGAUUGAAAAGUUUGACGGGCCCCAUGCGGCCCCCGAGCCUUAAUUUGCCCAGGUCAGCCCUAUUCUCUGGUUGGCCCUGGUAUGUAUAACGUGUGUUGAGAAGCAGAUUUACGAUGCCAUCUACAGUGCAGAGUUGCAAUGACAACUUACAUCAUAAUGUCCCCAUCAUAAUCUCAUUAUAAUGUCUUUAUGAGCAAUUGCGUAACAGGUCCAAUGUUUUCAGAUAAAUGAAAUAUGGUAAACACUGCUAACAUAUUGUAGAAAGUAUCCCUAGACGAAUGGAAACUGCUGCAUAUUUUCUCAUUUUUUCAUGUCCUAAUGAUAUUGUCUAUAUUGUAUAUAUCAUAAUAUUAUUAGUAUCGGCCAAACAAUAUAAACACUUUCUUGAUAAUAUAGGACGCCGCAACAGACAAUUGGAUCUAUGACUCUUUCAUCCAUUCAUUCUCCAUUUUGUAAUCAAUCUUCAUUGCUUCAUUGGGUGUAGUGGAACGACCCCCCCUCCAUAAUCCAUAUUAGAAAGGUUUGGUUGCUAGGCAGGCACCACAUCAUAGUAACCAUGGGAAUGUGGAGUGAGUGUUGGGGGUUGGCUGUCGCAACAACAUACUAAUGGUGGGGGGAGGACUGAGACAAGUUCAAGGCCACUGUUUCUCAAAUAGUGUAUUGAGUGUGUGUGUGUGUGUGUGUGUGUGUGUGUGUGUGUGUGUGUGUGUGUGUGUGUGUGUGUGUGGAGAGAGAGAGUGGGGUGUAGAGCAAUGAGACAAAACAAAGGGAAAGGAAUAGAGAGAGAAUUUAAGCAGCUGUGGUGUAACUGGUACUGGCGAGGACACUGGUGUUGUCCAUCCAUCCAUUUUCUACUGGUUGUCCCUUUUGGGGUCGCGGGAGCCUAUCUCAGCUGCAUUUGGGCGGAAGGCGGGGUACACCCUGGACAAAUCGCCACCUCAUCGCAGGCACAACACAGACAGAACAUUCACACUCACAUUCACAUACUAGGGGUCAAUUUAGUGUUGGCAAUCAACCUAUCCCCAGGUGCAUGUCUUUGGAGGAAGCCGGAGUACCCGGAGGGAACCCACGCAGUUAAGGGGAGAACAUGCAAACUCCACACAGAAAAAUCCCGAGCCCGGGAUUGAACCCAGGACUGCAGGACCUUCGUAUUGUGAAGCAGAUGCACUAACCACCGUGCCAGUGUUGUAUAACAGAAUAAUAAAAUAAAAAACACACAUUCCAAAGACAAUUGUUCAAUCCAGGAUCAUUUUAGAUUUUCUUGGGAACUGUUCUCAUUCUAGAGAUGGGAUAAGAUAUGCAUUUAAAAAGCAAGUAUGUCUCUGCAGGACGGUCCUUAAUACUACACUAGAGAUAAAGAUCAAUACGUAUGCACACACUAUUUACUGUAAACACAGCAGGCACAGCGAGGUGUUCAAGACAAUAUUGUCACUGACGUCUGUAUUGCAGCUGAAAAUAUGUAAUUAAUGUUUUUAGGAUGAGGACUGGCACCUCGUUUUAAGUCUUCAAUGAAAUAUUGCACGGUGCACGUCAGUAUUAAUGACCCAAUAAGUCAGGCAAAAAUGAGCAUCUCGCUACACAUUGACUUAUAGUGACAGUAUUACUUUGAAAGGGAUCAUUUGCAAUUUAAAUAAAUAAAUGAUAAAUGGGUUGUACUUGUAUAGCGCUUUUCUAUCUUCAAGGUACUCAAAGCGCUUUGACACUACUUCCACAUUUACCCAUUCACACACUGAUGGAGGGAGCUGCCAUGCAAGGCGCCAACCAGCACCCAUCAGGAGCAAGGGUGAAGUGUCUUGCUCAGGACACA